AAAAGCUCGUAGUUGGAUUCCUGACCUGGGGUAGCCGGUCCGCCUUGCAAAAGGUGCGCACUGAGCGGCCUCGGUCAUCCUUGAGAAGAGCGGUCCUGGCAUUCAGUUGUCGGGGUCGGGAUUCUCGACGUUUACUGUGAAAAAAUCAGAGUGUUCAACGCAGGCUUACGCCUUGAAUACAUUAGCAUGGAAUAAUGAGAUAGGACCUUGGCGGUCUAUUUUGUUGGUUUGCACGCCGAGGUAAUGAUUAAAAGGGACGGUUGGGGUUCUUCGUAUUCAAUUGUCAGAGGUGAAAUUCUUGGAUUUAUGGAAGACGAACUGCUGCGAAAGCGUCGAACAAGGACGUUCUCAUUAAUCAAGAACGAAAGUUAGGGGAUCGAAGAUGAUUAGAUACCAUCGUAGUCUUAACCAUAAACUAUGCCGAUUCAGGAUUGGCGGUCGUUUGUUCUCGACUCCGUCAGCACUGUAUGAGAAAUCAAAAUCUUUGGGUUCCGGGGGGAGUAUGGUCGCAAGGCUGAAACUUAAAGAAAUUGACGGAAGGGCACCACCAGGAGUGGAGCCUGCGGCUUAAUUUGACUCAACACGGGGAAACUUACCAGGUCCAGACAUAGUAAGGAUUGACAGAUUGAGAGCUCUU
This 637-nucleotide ribosomal RNA is filed under the name uncultured marine eukaryote. RNAcentral's name for it is "SSU rRNA". It matches the Rfam family "Eukaryotic small subunit ribosomal RNA", at positions 622 to 1259 of the family's 1831-position model. The record is from RNAcentral.